This is a regulatory RNA element of Pelodiscus sinensis (Chinese soft-shelled turtle), 73 nucleotides long. It matches the Rfam family "U1A polyadenylation inhibition element (PIE)". Rfam says of the family: This family represents the U1A polyadenylation inhibition element (PIE). NCBI's taxonomy places the organism in Eukaryota, Metazoa, Chordata, Testudines, Trionychidae. The record is from Rfam.
UCCUGAAGCAUUGUACCCAGGGUCUGCUGUUCAGACAUUGCACCUGGAGCUCGCUUUCCAAUAAAAGCUCCCU